UGCGCGGGCUACCAUGCAGUCGACGGUAACAGGAGACCUUGCUUCUUUGCUGACGAGUGGCGGACGGGUGACUAAUGUCUGGGAAGCUGCCUGAUGGGGGGGGAUUACUACUGGAAACGGUAACUAAUACCGCAUAACGUCACCAGACCAAAGAGGGGGACCUUCAGGCCUCUUGCCAUCGGUUGUGCCCAGAUGGGAUUAGCUUGUAGGUGGGGUAACGGCUCACCUAGGCCACGAUCCCUAUCUGGUCUGAAACGAUGACCGUCCUCACUGGAACUGAGACACGGUCCCGACUCCUACGGGAAGCAGCAGUGGGGAAUAUUGCUCAAUGGAAAUAAGCCAAAUGCUGCCAUGCCGCGUGUAUGAAGAAUGCCUUCGUUUGUAAAGUACUUUCUGCGGGGAGGGAGUUUUUUAAGUGAAUACCUUUGCUCAUUCACCUUGCCGGGGAGAAGGCCCACCCCCCCUCCUUGCCA
Molecule: ribosomal RNA, 473 nt
Filed under: marine bacterium CS-69
Lineage: Bacteria
Description: partial 16S ribosomal RNA
Rfam family: Bacterial small subunit ribosomal RNA
Source: RNAcentral